This 504-nucleotide ribosomal RNA is filed under the name uncultured bacterium. Its description in RNAcentral is "bacterial SSU rRNA". It matches the Rfam family "Bacterial small subunit ribosomal RNA", at positions 94 to 630 of the family's 1533-position model. The record is from RNAcentral.
AGUGGCGUACGGGUGAGUAACAAGGGGACAAUCUACCCUCUAGUGAGGAAUACCGCUGGGAAACCGGUGACAAUACCGCAUAAGCUCGAGAGAGGAAAGCAGAAAUGCGCUGGAGGAGGAGUCCGCGGCUGAUUAGCUAGUUGGUGAGGUAACGGCUCACCAAGGCAAAGAUCAGUAGCCGGCCUGAGAGGGCACACGGCCACACUGGCACUGAAACACGGGCCAGACUCCUACGGGAGGCAGCAGUGGGGAAUCUUGCACAAUGGGGGAAACCCUGAUGCAACGACGCCGCGUGAGCGAUGAAGCCCCUCGGGGUGUAAAGCUCUUUCGGCAGGGAAGAUUAUGACGGUACCUGCAGAAGCAGCUGCGGCUAACUACGUGCCAGCAGCCGCGGUAAUACGUAGGCAGCAAGCGUUGUUCGGAGUUACUGGGCGUAAAGGGUGUGUAGGCGGUUGGAUAAGUGUGGUGUGUAAUCUCCCGGCUCAACUGGGAGGGUGCGCUACA